Molecule: transfer RNA, 85 nt
Filed under: Nitrososphaerota archaeon
Lineage: Archaea; Thermoproteati; Nitrososphaerota
Also listed under: 2 other names
Description: Thaumarchaeota archaeon tRNA-Leu
Rfam family: tRNA
About the family: Transfer RNA (tRNA) molecules are approximately 80 nucleotides in length.
Source: RNAcentral
GCGGGGAUAGCCGAGCCUGGUCAAAGGCGCGGGACUUAAGAUCCCGUCCCUCAGGGGUUCGUGGGUUCGAAUCCCACUCCCCGCA